This 410-nucleotide ribosomal RNA is filed under the name uncultured bacterium. RNAcentral describes it as "bacterial SSU rRNA". It matches the Rfam family "Bacterial small subunit ribosomal RNA", at positions 355 to 762 of the family's 1533-position model. The record is from RNAcentral.
UAAGGAAUAUUGGACAAUGGAGGCAACUCUGAUCCAGCCAUGCCGCGUGAAGGAAUAAGGCCCUAUGGGUUGUAAACUUCUUUUAGACGGGACAAAACCCCUUUACGUGUAAAGGGUUGAUGGUACUGUCAGAAUAAGCAUCGGCUAACUUCGUGCCAGCAGCCGCGGUAAUCCGAAGGAUGCAAGCGUUAUCCGGAAUGAUUGGGUUUAAAGGGUGCGUAGGCGGACUAAUAAGUCAGUGGUGAAAGCCUGCAGCUUAACUGCAGGAUUGCCAUUGAUACUGUUAGUCUUGAGUACAGUUGAGGUAGGCGGAAUGUGUCAUGUAGCGGUGAAAUGCUUAGAUAUGACACAGAACACCGAUUUCGAAGGCAGCUUGCUAAGCUGUAACUGACGCUGAGGCACGAAAGCGU